AACGAACGCUGGCGGCAUGCCUAACACAUGCAAGUCGAACGAGACCUUCGGGUCUAGUGGCGCACGGGUGCGUAACGCGUGGGAACCUUCCCUUAGGUUCGGAAUAACUCCCCGAAAGGGGUGCUAAUACCGGAUAAUGUCUUCGGACCAAAGAUUUAUCGCCUUUGGAUGGGCCCGCGUUGGAUUAGCUAGUUGGUAGGGUAAAAGCCUACCAAGGCGACGAUCCAUAGCUGGUAUGAGAGGAUGAUCAGCCACACUGGGACUGAGACACGGCCCAGACUCCUACGGGAGGCAGCAGUGGUGAAUAUUGGACAACUGGCGAAAGCAUGAUCCAGCAAUGCCGCGUGAGUGAUGAAGGCCUUAGGGUUGUAAAGCUCUUUUACCCGGGAUGAUAAUGACAGUACCGGGAGAAUAAGCUCCGGCUAACUCCGUG
Molecule: ribosomal RNA, 433 nt
Filed under: uncultured bacterium
Lineage: Bacteria
Description: partial 16S ribosomal RNA
Rfam family: Bacterial small subunit ribosomal RNA
Source: RNAcentral